RNAcentral lists this ribosomal RNA (200 nucleotides) under uncultured bacterium. Its description in RNAcentral is "partial 16S ribosomal RNA". It matches the Rfam family "Bacterial small subunit ribosomal RNA", at positions 8 to 198 of the family's 1533-position model. The record is from RNAcentral.
AGAGUUUGAUCCUGGCUCAGGACGAACGCUGGCGGCGUGCCUAACACAUGCAAGUCGAGCGGAGAAAAGUGGAUGGUAACUGAAGCUUUUCUUAGCGGCGGACGGGUGAGUAACGCGUGGGCAACCUGCCCUAUACAGGGGGAUAACACUAAGAAAUUGGUGCUAAUACCGCAUAACAUAUCUUUGCUGCAUGGUGAGGA